GGGAAUUAGCUCAGUUGGCUAGAGCAUCUGCCUUGCACGCAGGGGGUCGCGGGUUCGAGUCCCACAUUCUCC
This 72-nucleotide transfer RNA is filed under the name human gut metagenome. It matches the Rfam family "tRNA". Rfam says of the family: Transfer RNA (tRNA) molecules are approximately 80 nucleotides in length. Their secondary structure includes four short double-helical elements and three loops (D, anti-codon, and T loops). RNAcentral also lists the same sequence under 1 other name. The record is from RNAcentral.